This 379-nucleotide ribosomal RNA is filed under the name uncultured bacterium. RNAcentral's name for it is "bacterial SSU rRNA". It matches the Rfam family "Bacterial small subunit ribosomal RNA", at positions 28 to 409 of the family's 1533-position model. The record is from RNAcentral.
GACGAACGCUGGCGGCGUGCUUAACACAUGCAAGUCGAGCGGUAAGGCCCUUUCGGGGGUACACGAGCGGCGAACGGGUGAGUAACACGUGGGUGACCUGCCCUCAGCUCUGGGAUAAGCCCGGGAAACUGGGUCUAAUACCGGAUAUGACUCCAUGACGCAUGUUGUGGGGUGGAAAGCCUUGUGCGGCUGAGGAUGGGCCCGCGGCCUAUCAGCUUGUUGGUGGGGUGAUGGCCACCAAGGCGACGACGGGUAGCCGGCCUGAGAGGGCGACCGGCCACACUGGGACUGAGAUACGGCCCAGACUCCUACGGGAGGCAGCAGUGGGGAAUCUUGCGCAAUGGGCGAAAGCCUGACGCAGCGACGCCGCGUGAGGGAU